UCCGUCGCAAAUCCCAAGCAGAU
Molecule: non-coding RNA, 23 nt
Filed under: Arabidopsis thaliana (thale cress)
Lineage: Eukaryota; Viridiplantae; Streptophyta; Magnoliopsida; Brassicales; Brassicaceae
Source: RNAcentral